CCUACGGGUGGCUGCAGUGGGGAAUAUUGCACAAUGGGGGCAACCCUGAUGCAGCGACGCCGCGUGAAGGAAGAAGUAUUUCGGUAUGUAAACUUCUAUCAGCAGGGAAGAAAAUGCCGGUACCUGACUCAGAAGCCCCGGCUAACUACGUGCCAGCAGCCGCGGCACUACGUCGUGGGCAAGCGUUAUCCGGAUUUACUGGGUGUAAAGGGAGCGUAGACGGCGCUGCAAGUCCGGAGUGAAAGCACAUGGCUUAACCAUGGUACUGCUCUGGAAACUGUAGAGCUUGAGUGCGGGAGGGGCAUGCGGAAUUCCUAGUGUAGCGGUGAAAUGCGAAGAUAUACGGAGGAACACCAGUGGCGAAGGCGGCCUGCUGGACAUUAACUGACGCUGAGGCGCGAAAGCGUGGGUAGCAAACAGGAUUAGAUACCCGAGUAGUC
This 440-nucleotide ribosomal RNA is filed under the name uncultured bacterium. Its description in RNAcentral is "partial 16S ribosomal RNA". It matches the Rfam family "Bacterial small subunit ribosomal RNA", at positions 338 to 795 of the family's 1533-position model. The record is from RNAcentral.